RNAcentral lists this ribosomal RNA (253 nucleotides) under uncultured bacterium. RNAcentral's name for it is "partial 16S ribosomal RNA". It matches the Rfam family "Bacterial small subunit ribosomal RNA", at positions 524 to 776 of the family's 1533-position model. The record is from RNAcentral.
UACGUAGGGGGCAAGCGUUAUCCGGAUUUACUGGGUGUAAAGGGAGCGUAGACGGCUUUGCAAGCCAGAUGUGAAAGCCCGGGGCUCAACCUCGGGACUGCAUUUGGAACUGUAUGGCUGGAGUGUCGGAGAGGCAGGCGGAAUUCCUAGUGUAGCGGUGAAAUGCGUAGAUAUUAGGAGGAACACCAGUGGCGAAGGCGGCCUGCUGGACGAUGACUGACGUUGGGGCUCGAAAGCGUGGGGAGCAAACAGG